CCUACGGGAGGCAGCAGUGGGGAAUAUUGCACAAUGGGGGAAACCCUGAUGCAGCGACGCCGCGUGAGCGAUGAAGGAUUUCGGUAUGUAAAGCUCUAUCAGCAGGGAAGAAAAUGACGGUACCUGACUAAGAAGCACCGGCUAACUACGUGCAAGAAGCCGCGGUAAUUCGUAGGGGGCAAGCGUUAUCCGGAUUUACUGGGUGUAAAGGGAGCGUAGACGGGGAUGCAAGCCAGAUGUGAAAGCCCGGGGCGCAACCCCGGGACUGCAUUUGGAACUGUAUAGCUGGAGUGUCAGAGAGGCAUGCGGAAUGCCUAGUGUAGCGGUGAAAUGCGUAGAUAUUAGGCUGAACACCAGUGGCGAAGGCGGCCUGCUGGACGAUGACUGACGUUGAGGCUCGAAAGCGUGGGGAGCAAACAGGAUUAGAUACCCGGGUAGUC
This 440-nucleotide ribosomal RNA is filed under the name uncultured bacterium. Its description in RNAcentral is "partial 16S ribosomal RNA". It matches the Rfam family "Bacterial small subunit ribosomal RNA", at positions 338 to 795 of the family's 1533-position model. The record is from RNAcentral.